RNAcentral lists this ribosomal RNA (460 nucleotides) under uncultured Actinomycetes bacterium. RNAcentral describes it as "bacterial SSU rRNA". It matches the Rfam family "Bacterial small subunit ribosomal RNA", at positions 39 to 523 of the family's 1533-position model. The record is from RNAcentral. Lineage: Bacteria; Bacillati; Actinomycetota; Actinomycetes.
AGGCCGUGCGGGCCGCUACACAUGCAGUCGAACGGGCACUUCGGUGCUAGUGGCAGACGGGUGAGUAACGCGUGAGUAACGUGCCUCUUUUCUGGGGAUACCGUUUCGAAAGGAACGUUAAUACCGAAUGUGGUGUAAGGGUGGCAUCAUCCUUGCAUUAAACUGUUAGGGAGAAGAGAUCGGCUCGCGUACUAUCAGCUAGAUGGUGGGGUAACGGCCUACCAUGGCUACGACGGUUAACUGGUCUGAGAGGACGAUCAGUCACACUGGAACUGAGACACGGUCCAGACUCCUACGGGAGGCAGCAGUGAGGAAUCUUGCACAAUGGGCGAAAGCCUGAUGCAGCGACGCCGCGUGAGGGACGAAGGCCUUCGGGUUGUAAACCUCUGUCAGUGGGGAAGAAGUUUGACGGUACCCACUGAGGAAGCUUCGGCUAACUACGUGCCAGCAGCCGCGGUAA